This 21-nucleotide small nuclear RNA is filed under the name Arabidopsis thaliana (thale cress). RNAcentral describes it as "snRNA_18995". The record is from RNAcentral. Lineage: Eukaryota; Viridiplantae; Streptophyta; Magnoliopsida; Brassicales; Brassicaceae.
AGUAGUCUCUCAUAUAGUUUC